Lactuca sativa (garden lettuce) is the source of this 2556-nucleotide RNA transcript. RefSeq lists it as uncharacterized. The record is from RefSeq and is a predicted model, not a curated record. NCBI's taxonomy places the organism in Eukaryota, Viridiplantae, Streptophyta, Magnoliopsida, Asterales, Asteraceae.
AACGUAAUUUAUAUAAAAAUAAAUAGUGAUAUUUUUUCGAUAAUUAGCCAUUUAGCCUACAAUAAGUCAAUUAGUCAAACCCUCGUUGUUUCCCUCCUCCUUUAACCCUGUUCAACCAAACUGCCUCAACUUCUUGGAGGCCUAUACACACGAUCAACACGUUACAGAAACCAUUAUCAACAUCAACACCAUUGUAAUCGCCACCAAUAUCCUCUUCUUCCCGCUACGCUUUACAGUUUUCUGUUUUCUUACUUUUUCAUGUACAGCUUUUAACUUUCUUUCUUGAUGUUUUAAACACUAAUGAAUUUCUUGUAUGAUGUAUCACUCGUAUUUUCAUUAAAUCAAGACUAAUUUCUUCCAGUUUACCAUCUUAGUGUCCUCCUCUUUGAGAAUUGCUGAUGAAUAUUGGUGGGUGCUGAUGGGUUUGAAUGCUAAUCAAGAACAUGUUGGGGGUAAAACCCCAUUAUGGAUUCCUGCUGGCGACAGCACGAUUUCGAGGUUAAAGCACCUUGAUAUUCAUGCCGAUGAUGCCGAAUCUCAAACCGCUCUUGGGUGAGAACUUUAAUCUAACUCCAAUUUGCCGAUAAUUUCUCACUUUGAAUUAGAUGUGGGUUACUUUUCUACUUCAAAUUGCUAGAACAAUCUGCCAAUUUUAUCGAAUUGUUUGUUGGAAUGAUGCACUAAAUGUUCUAACGGCUAUGGAUAUUAUUUCUAAAGAUAAAAAGGAAAUACAUUGGAAGGGUAUGCCUCACACUACCCCUAACCAUAUUCAAGAGCUAAAGAGUGAGAGACUUGCUAUACAAAACAGAUUUGAGAUGAAAUCAGCAUAUUUACAAGAAUUGGAGGAUCAAGUGAGAAUGAUUGUAGUCACUCUCAAUAUUUCUUUUACAAAUUUGUGUCAGGAAUGAGGACUGAGUUCCUUUGUGCACUAACUUUCCCUUUUUACCCUCACAAAGUAUGUAGCUGUAAAGAAUCUGAUACAACACAAUCAUGAGAUUACGGUUUUGCCCCUUUGUAGACUCCCUCUCAUGCGGAAGUCGAGAUUGAAAUGUCGGAAAAUACUCACCCGUCCCUUUUGACGUCAAUGGCACUCCGUUUGAACUACAUUAUGACAAUUAUGCACUCAAGGAAAUGAAGUUAUGCGGUCGAUCAAAAAGAGGUGAUGACAUUGCAAAGGGUGGGUCUGUGGAUGAUAUGGCAAUCAGUGGGUCACCAUACCAUCCAAUCCCCCCACAUUUGUAAGAUGGCUCUAUUCACCCAUGUUUUGAAAACCGGACCAGACCGGCCGGUUCGACCGGUUAAACCGUGAACCGGUCCCAGAUCCGGUUCUUAAAGGCUAAAAAACCGGUAUUCAUGUGAACCGGUCAAAACUGGAAAUUUUCAAAAAUAUUUAUUUUUUACAUUUUUUGUAUUUUUUAUAUAAUUAAAAAUAAUUAUGACAUCAUCCGGUUUUUGAGACCGGUCCGACCGGUUGGAACACCUGAACCAUCGAACCAGUAAGACGAACGGUUCGGUCAAGGCCGGCCUUAUGUACAUUUGAGUAAGGGUAGGGCUUAGGGCCCCAAUUUUUAAGGGGCCCCACUUAAUUUUCCACACGUUUAUUCUUCUGUAUCGAUCACGCAUCUGACUCCUCAAAAAUCAAAAGUAUUGAUCAACUACAACCGACGAUUACUCUUCCUAUUCUUCUUCUUCUCUACGAUUACACUUCUGUUCUUCUUCUUCUCCAUUCUCGAACUCUGAUUCUCGGUUCUAGCUUUCUAGGAAUCUCUGAUCUCGAUUCUAGGCAUCAUCGAUCUUGAUUCUUCCACACGGAUAAGCGCUGAAAAUACCUUAUGUACUUCGGUUCUUAUUCUUCCUUCUUCAUUCUCGGUUUCUUCAUAGACUCCAUUGUUCAAAAUCAUUGAUGAUUUAACUAUUCAAGGUUGUCACUGGACACUGAAACGGUAAUGUGUUUGUGUUUUCACUUUUCACUUUUGAUUUUUUCAUUAUUUAGGGUUAAUAGCUGAUUAGGGUUAAUCUUUUCAAUUAUAUUUUUAAUUCUAGAUUUCAUUGUUAACUGCUGGUUGAUUACUAUUGAUGUGAAUCAAGUUGGAAUGAAAUUUUCAGUUUUCUAGAUUUGAGCUUUAUAUUAUGUGAGGGGUGGUAUAAUCCUAAUCUAUAUCUUCUACACAUAUUUUCUACACUUAUACCACUUGUCUUGGUGAUUAUUUAUUGCAUCUAAAAAAAGCUAGAAAAAUUAAUUUUAUGUCUUAAAUUUAUUCAUAAAGAAUAUAUAUGUAUUAGAAAAAUUUAACUCCGUCAUUUAUAAACUUUUUAGUUUAUUAUUGCAGGUCCUGGAUAAAGGAGGAGGGUUUAUAACAUUGAGUAUAGUAAAUGCUAAAGGGCCCCAAAUUUUUUGUUCGCUUAGAACCCCCAAACUGGUUGAGCCGGCCCUGGGUUCGGUCUCCGGUCCGGUUUUCAAAACCUUGCUAUUCACUUGUGGGAGUAGUUUUUAUUUAGUUUUAGUCUUUUUUUUAACUUUCAACCAUGUUGAAGCAUGUCAUUACGUAUUGUGGU